CUCAGGAUGAACGCUAGCUACAGGCUUAACACAUGCAAGUCGAGGGGCAGCAUGGUCUUAGCUUGCUAAGGCCGAUGGCGACCGGCGCACGGGUGAGUAACACGUAUCCAACCUGCCGUCUACUCUUGGACAGCCUUCUGAAAGGAAGAUUAAUACAAGAUGGCAUCAUGAGUCCGCAUGUUCACAUGAUUAAAGGUAUUCCGGUAGACGAUGGGGAUGCGUUCCAUUAGAUAGUAGGCGGGGUAACGGCCCACCUAGUCUUCGAUGGAUAGGGGUUCUGAGAGGAAGGUCCCCCACAUUGGAACUGAGACACGGUCCAAACUCCUACGGGAGGCAGCAGUGAGGAAUAUUGGUCAAUGGGCGAGAGCCUGAACCAGCCAAGUAGCGUGAAGGAUGACUGCCCUAUGGGUUGUAAACUUCUUUUAUAAAGGAAUAAAGUCGGGUAUGGAUACCCGUUUGCAUGUACUUUAUGAAUAAGGAUCGGCUAACUCCGUGCCAGCAGCCGCGGUAAUACGGAGGAUCCGAGCGUUAUCCGGAUUUAUUGGGUUUAAAGGGAGCGUAGAUGGAUGUUUAAGUCAGUUGUGAAAGUUUGCGGCUCAACCGUAAAAUUGCAGUUGAUACUGGAUAUCUUGAGUGCAGUUGAGGCAGGCGGAAUUCGUGGUGUAGCGGUGAAAUGCUUAGAUAUCACGAAGAACUCCGAUUGCGAAGGCAGCCUACUAAGCUGCAACUGACAUUGAGGCUCGAAAGUGUGGGUAUCAAACAGGAUUAGAUACCCUGGUAGUCCACACGGUAAACGAUGAAUACUCGCUGUUUGCGAUAUACAGCAAGCGGCCAAGCGAAAGCGUUAAGUAUUCCACCUGGGGAGUACGCCGGCAACGGUGAAACUCAAAGGAAUUGACGGGGGCCCGCACAAGCGGAGGAACAUGUGGUUUAAUUCGAUGAUACGCGAGGAACCUUACCCGGGCUUAAAUUGCAGAUGAAUGACGGUGAAAGCCGUAAGCCGCAAGGCAUCUGUGAAGGUGCUGCAUGGUUGUCGUCAGCUCGUGCCGUGAGGUGUCGGCUUAAGUGCCAUAACGAGCGCAACCCUUGUUGUCAGUUACUAACAGGUUCCGCUGAGGACUCUGACAAGACUGCCAUCGUAAGAUGUGAGGAAGGUGGGGAUGACGUCAAAUCAGCACGGCCCUUACGUCCGGGGCUACACACGUGUUACAAUGGGGGGUACAGAGGGCCGCUACCACGCGAGUGGAUGCCAAUCCCCAAAACCUCUCUCAGUUCGGACUGGAGUCUGCAACCCGACUCCACGAAGCUGGAUUCGCUAGUAAUCGCGCAUCAGCCACGGCGCGGUGAAUACGUUCCCGGGCCUUGUACACACCGCCCGUCAAGCCAUGGGAGCCGGGGGUACCUGAAGUGCGUAACCGCGAGGAGCGCCCUAGGGUA
RNAcentral lists this ribosomal RNA (1437 nucleotides) under uncultured organism. RNAcentral's name for it is "16S ribosomal RNA". It matches the Rfam family "Bacterial small subunit ribosomal RNA". The record is from RNAcentral.